ACUUAAAUUGAAGAGUUUGAUCAUGGCUCAGAUUGAACGCUGGCGGCAGGCCUAACACAUGCAAGUCGAGCGGUAGCACAGAGAGCUUGCUCUCGGGUGACGAGCGGCGGACGGGUGAGUAAUGUCUGGGAAACUGCCUGAUGGAGGGGGAUAACUACUGGAAACGGUAGCUAAUACCGCAUAAUGUCGCAAGACCAAAGUGGGGGACCUUCGGGCCUCAUGCCAUCAGAUGUGCCCAGAUGGGAUUAGCUUGUAGGUGGGGUAACGGCUCACCUAGGCGACGAUCCCUAGCUGGUCUGAGAGGAUGACCAGCCACACUGGAACUGAGACACGGUCCAGACUCCUACGGGAGGCAGCAGUGGGGAAUAUUGCACAAUGGGCGCAAGCCUGAUGCAGCCAUGCCGCGUGUGUGAAGAAGGCCUUCGGGUUGUAAAGCACUUUCAGCGGGGAGGAAGGCGGUGAGGUUAAUAACCUCAUCGAUUGACGUUACCCGCAGAAGAAGCACCGGCUAACUCCGUGCCAGCAGCCGCGGUAAUACGGAGGGUGCAAGCGUUAAUCGGAAUUACUGGGCGUAAAGCGCACGCAGGCGGUCUGUCAAGUCGGAUGUGAAAUCCCCGGGCUUAACCUGGGAACUGCAUUCGAAACUGGCAGGCUAGAGUCUUGUAGAGGGGGGUAGAAUUCCAGGUGUAGCGGUGAAAUGCGUAGAGAUCUGGAGGAAUACCGGUGGCGAAGGCGGCCCCCUGGACAAAGACUGACGCUCAGGUGCGAAAGCGUGGGGAGCAAACAGGAUUAGAUACCCUGGUAGUCCACGCCGUAAACGAUGUCGAUUUGGAGGUUGUGCCCUUGAGGCGUGGCUUCCGGAGCUAACGCGUUAAAUCGACCGCCUGGGGAGUACGGCCGCAAGGUUAAAACUCAAAUGAAUUGACGGGGGCCCGCACAAGCGGUGGAGCAUGUGGUUUAAUUCGAUGCAACGCGAAGAACCUUACCUGGUCUUGACAUCCACAGAACUUUCCAGAGAUGGAUUGGUGCCUUCGGGAACUGUGAGACAGGUGCUGCAUGGCUGUCGUCAGCUCGUGUUGUGAAAUGUUGGGUUAAGUCCCGCAACGAGCGCAACCCUUAUCCUUUGUUGCCAGCGGUUCGGCCGGGAACUCAAAGGAGACUGCCAGUGAUAAACUGGAGGAAGGUGGGGAUGACGUCAAGUCAUCAUGGCCCUUACGACCAGGGCUACACACGUGCUACAAUGGCAUAUACAAAGAGAAGCGACCUCGCGAGAGCAAGCGGACCUCAUAAAGUAUGUCGUAGUCCGGAUUGGAGUCUGCAACUCGACUCCAUGAAGUCGGAAUCGCUAGUAAUCGUAGAUCAGAAUGCUACGGUGAAUACGUUCCCGGGCCUUGUACACACCGCCCGUCACACCAUGGGAGUGGGUUGCAAAAGAAGUAGGUAGCUUAACCUUCGGGAGGGCGCUUACCACUUUGUGAUUCAUGACUGGGGUGAAGUCGUAACAAGGUAACCGUAGGGGAACCUGCGGUUGGAUCACCUCCUUACCUUAAAGAA
Molecule: ribosomal RNA, 1554 nt
Filed under: Klebsiella pneumoniae
Lineage: Bacteria; Pseudomonadati; Pseudomonadota; Gammaproteobacteria; Enterobacterales; Enterobacteriaceae
Description: bacterial SSU rRNA
Rfam family: Bacterial small subunit ribosomal RNA
Source: RNAcentral